GUCUACGGCCAUGCUACCCUGAACAAGCCCGAUCCCAUCUGAUCUCAGAAGCUAAGCAGGGUUGGGCCUGGUUAGUACUUGGAUGGGAGACCACCUAAGAAGACCAGGUGUUGUGGGGG
Molecule: ribosomal RNA, 119 nt
Filed under: Pteropus alecto (black flying fox)
Lineage: Eukaryota; Metazoa; Chordata; Mammalia; Chiroptera; Pteropodidae
Source: RNAcentral